UACCGUCUUCCAUCGCCGCGCCAGGCCAGCGAGGCGUCAGAACCGCUGCCGGCGUACGCGAGAAGCUUCAGCACGGACAGACUUUUCAGAAAGGGCUUUUCGCGGGGAAGGAAAUCGCCUUUCUGACAGGCUCCUAACGCGUUCCCUCUCCGGCUCUCGACAGAGGGAGAUGCAGUUUCCGGGAACGCACCUUACUAGCACCGAGUACGAAGCCCGUAGCGCGGUGAGCGAGUACACAAACGCACUGUUUUGCGGUAGCAACGGCAACAACAUGCGGUUCUACGCCCAGCUGCCUAACGAUUUCAACGAUCUCUUUUUCGCCUUAUUUGCCGGCAUUUUAAGGAACUUUCCCAUCGGGUCCACCGCACGGGCAGGACUUUCAGCAUCUCAGGAGGCGCUACGCAAAUACGCGUGAAAACCGUCAUUUAGCACAUGGAGAAGAUAAAACUUUCUCCGCAGCCGGGAGCUUCGGCGGCAAGACGCAGCCGGGGAAGGCGUUGCUGCAACCGCCAGAGAGGGACUGCGGAAGGGCUGCGAGUCCCCGCGAGCACGCAGGCGGCCGCUGGGGAAGCGCAAGUCCCUCCGACGCCGUUCGCCGCGAUAAUUGGGAUUGCGUUUUCCCUGGGCCCGGCUGCCGUUCCGCAAAGUUUUCGGCCCGAGUGCUAGAAGCAAAGCGGCGCAGAGCAGCCCUGGAAUAGGAGUUGAAGGCGCAGCACUGCCCUGCACCGUCCGCGCUGCAGCUGGGGCUGCUCGGCUGCCAAGGAGCCUGAGCCUGCUGGCCUGAGGGGAAACCAUCUUCUUCUCUAUCGCACAGAAUACUAUCAAAAAAGUAGAGAAAAACACAGAUCUAAUGGAGAGGAGUUGCUUUCUGCAAGAUCCUCCAGCCUACUCCUCAGUACUUAAUAAAAAAUCUCCUCUGUACUAUGACUUUAUUACAGCUAAGUGCGCUCGCUGGGAGCUGGCACGCAGCACACAAGACGCUGCUUCUGCAGUCCUACCCCUCGCCCAUCCGACGCGCAGUCCUCAGCCCUUUCCAUCUCCCACUAAAAAUGGCUCUGCCCAUCAAAUCUCUGCAUUUACGCCAUCAUCCAUUAAACCGCAGCGCUGUAUAUUUUAUGAGAACAAAAUGGUCUUGAGUUGACUUCAUACUUCAGAUAUGGAGAGCUGUACACAUCCCUAGAGACUAUUACCGUCUUCCCUUGCUCGCACAUCACACGCAAAAGGGAAGGAAAAAGCCAUAGGCUGCACAUACGCAUUAAAUAAUCACAGGAAGCAAAUUAAUACCCAAAUCAUCAGAGAACGAAAGCGGAGAGCGUAGCUGCUCUAGGGAUGUGGAAGUACUUCAUCCACAGGCACGCCCAACGCGCCGCACCAGGCUCCUGACUGCCUCUGUGUGCUCCCCGGCCCUGCAGCACAGGCAGGACCCUCUGCGAGCAGCCUCUCCCCACCCCACAACAAGCACGACCUGACCCGUACCGGGGUUCCUCCAUGAACAGAGUGCUUCAGGAUAAGCAGUCAAUGAGUUGAAUGAUAAUUAGAAAUUACUGUUUUUCUCUCUUGCGGAGUAUUGCUAUCGCUGAUUCCUUCUCCUUUGAGAAAGAUGGGCAGGCGUUCUCUUGUGGUAAGAAUCCCACUGACUGAACUGCACAUCUCUUCACCUUGGCCAGGACCAUGCGGCAACCCCAGCAACCACCUGCCCGUGGCGGAAAGCUUGGUGCAUCGGACAGCUACAUGCACAGAAGGGUUUGAGUUCUACCUGAUAUUAGAUAGAGGUACCCCUGACAGAUUUUGACAGUCUAAUGGUGACUGUCUUUUGUCGAGCAGCCUACCUUUCUCAGAGCAAAAGGCAAACGCUGCACACGGAUCUCAUUGACUCUUUUUCCCUACAGUGUUACUACUCUCGACCGUCCACCACUAACACUUGGCCAUCUCCCUGAAGGUGAGGUUCACAGCCCCUGGCACAGCAAGACUCCACUUGGGAGCCCACUCCUCCCCACAGUGCCCACCCGCCUCAGCAGAGUUCGGCGCUGGGAACACGCCAUGAUGUCAGUUGUAAGGCACAGCGUAAGGGAUGACUGAAGGCCUCGCGUAAGUAGAGGGGAACAGACCAAACCAUGAGGACCACGCAGUGCUGCAGGUCACACAGCUCCACUCUGCACCACCUUAGCAAACAGAAUAGUGGACAACUGAGCCGCUGACCCUCGGAUGCUUCCAGGAACCCAACAGCAAGUAGCAGAGAUGAUGCACCCAUUUAUAUCUUUACUGACAUUUGCAAUAAUCUUUACUGCAGUAACUUAAUACGCUCUAAGCAUACUUAAUGGUAUCGAGUAAAUGCUCAUCACAAAUGAAUGUACAUUGAGACUAACCGUACUUCAUAAAACAAUUUUGGAAAAUAAAACAAAAGUUGCUGUCAUUCCCUACUUCACAUA
Long non-coding RNA from Numida meleagris (helmeted guineafowl), 2429 nucleotides. RefSeq lists it as uncharacterized. Lineage: Eukaryota; Metazoa; Chordata; Aves; Galliformes; Numididae. The record is from RefSeq and is a predicted model, not a curated record. The transcript is spliced from 2 exons.